RNAcentral lists this long non-coding RNA (406 nucleotides) under Gossypium barbadense (sea-island cotton). Its description in RNAcentral is "long non-coding RNA (GBAR_LNC008663)". The record is from RNAcentral. Lineage: Eukaryota; Viridiplantae; Streptophyta; Magnoliopsida; Malvales; Malvaceae.
UUUUGGUUUGGUUUACAAAGCAAUAUUAGCAGAUGGGACCAAACUUGCAGUUAAGAAGCUCUCGGGAGAUUUCGGCCUGAUGGAGAGGGAAUUCAAAGCUGAGGUAGAAGUACUAUCAACAGCUCAACAUGAAAACCUGGUGUCCCUGCAAGGUUAUUGUGUACACGAAGGGUUUCGGCUAUUAAUAUAUUCCUAUAUGGAGAAUGGAAGUUUAGACUACUGGUUACAUGAGAAAGAGAAUGGUCCAUCCCAGUUAGAUUGGCAAACUCGACUGAAGAUUGCUAGGGGAGCAAGUAAUGGAUUGGCUUACAUGCAUCAGAUAUGCGAGCCACACAUUGUUCACCGAGACAUCAAGUCGAGCAAUAUCCUUCUUGAUGACAAGUUUGAGGCACAUGUUGCAGAUUUU